This 99-nucleotide signal recognition particle RNA is filed under the name Flavobacteriaceae bacterium. RNAcentral describes it as "signal recognition particle sRNA small type". It matches the Rfam family "Bacteroidales small SRP". From Rfam's summary of the family: The non-coding component of the signal recognition particle in Bacteroides The record is from RNAcentral. Lineage: Bacteria; Pseudomonadati; Bacteroidota; Flavobacteriia; Flavobacteriales; Flavobacteriaceae.
GGGCAGGUUCUACACAAUCAGCUCCUGCUGAAUCCCCCAGGGUGGAAACGCAGCAAGGGUAUGCGGUCGUAGCGGUGUGCUGUAGGUAGCCUGCCUUUU